CGUGCUUAACACAUGCAAGUCGAACGAACCUUCGGGUUAGUGGCGGACGGGUGAGUAACGCGUGGGAAUCUGCCCUCAGGAGGGGGAUAACGGUUGGAAACGACCGCUAAUACCCCAUAUGCCGAGAGGUGAAAUGAAUUUCGCCUGAGGAUGAGCCCGCGUCUGAUUAGCUUGUUGGUGAGGUAAUGGCUCACCAAGGCAUCGAUCAGUAGCUGGUCUGAGAGGAUGAUCAGCCACACUGGGACUGAGACACGGCCCAGACUCCUACGGGAGGCAGCAGUGGGGAAUUUUCCGCAAUGGGCGAAAGCCUGACGGAGCAACGCCGCGUGAGGGACGAAGGCCUCUGGGCUGUAAACCUCUUUUCUCAAGGAAGAAGAUAUGACGGUACUUGAGGAAUAAGCCACGGCUAAUUCCGUGCCAGCAGCCGCGGUAAUACGGGAGUGGCAAGCGUUAUCCGGAAUUAUUGGGCGUAAAGCGUCCGCAGGCGGCCUUUCAAGUCUGCUGUUAAAGCGUGGAGCUUAACUCCAUCAUGGCAGUGGAAACUGAUUGGCUUGAGUAUGGUAGGGGCAGAGGGAAUUCCCGGUGUAGCGGUGAAAUGCGUAGAUAUCGGGAAGAACACCAGUGGCGAAGGCGCUCUGCUGGGCCAUUACUGACGCUCAUGGACGAAAGCCAGGGGAGCGAAAGGGAUUAGAUACCCCUGUAGUCCUGGCCGUAAACGAUGAACACUAGGUGUCGGGGGAAUCGACCCCUUCGGUGUCGUA
Molecule: ribosomal RNA, 761 nt
Filed under: uncultured Prochlorococcus sp.
Lineage: Bacteria; Bacillati; Cyanobacteriota; Cyanophyceae; Synechococcales; Prochlorococcaceae
Description: SSU rRNA
Rfam family: Bacterial small subunit ribosomal RNA
Source: RNAcentral